CAAAAGCGUAUAUUAAAGUUGUUGCAGUUAAAAAGCUCGUAGUUGAACCUUGGGCUUGGCUGGCCGGUCCAUCUUUUUUGAUGCGUACUGGACCCAGCCGCGCCUUUCCUUCUGGCUAGCCUUUUGGCGAACCAGGACUUUUACUUUGAAAAAAUUAGAGUGUUCAAAGCAGGCCUUUGCUCGAAUAUAUUAGCAUGGAAUAAUAGAAUAGGACGUUAUGGUUCUAUUUUGUUGGUUUCUAGGACCAUCGUAAUGAUUAAUAGGGACGGUCGGGGGUAUCAGUAUUCAGUUGUCAGAGGUGAAAUUCUUGGAUUUACUGAAGACUAACUACUGCGAAAGCAUUUACCAAGGACGUUUUCAUUAA
Molecule: ribosomal RNA, 364 nt
Filed under: uncultured eukaryote
Lineage: Eukaryota
Description: partial 18S ribosomal RNA
Rfam family: Eukaryotic small subunit ribosomal RNA
Source: RNAcentral